CUACGGGUGGCUGCAGUGGGGAAUCUUGGACAAUGGGCGCAAGCCUGAUCCAGCAAUGCCGCGUGGGUGAAGAAGGCCUUCGGGUUGUAAAGCCCUUUUGUCAGGGAGCAAAUCCUUGUAGCUAAUAUCUACUGGGGAUGAGAGUACCUGAAGAAUAAGGACCGGCUAACUACGUGCCAGCAGCCGCGGUAAUACGUAGGGUCCAAGCGUUAAUCGGAAUUACUGGGCGUAAAGCGUGCGCAGGUGGCUUGUUAAGACCGAUGUGAAAUCCCCGGGCUCAACCUGGGAACUGCAUUGGUGACUGGCUCGCUAGAGUACGGCAGAGGGGGGUGGAAUUCCACGUGUAGCAGUGAAAUGCGUAGAGAUGUGGAGGAACACCGAUGGCGAAGGCAACCCCCUGGGCUGAUACUGACACUCAUGCACGAAAGCGUGGGGAGCAAACAGGAUUAGAUACCCUAGUAGUC
RNAcentral lists this ribosomal RNA (464 nucleotides) under Salmonella enterica subsp. enterica. RNAcentral describes it as "bacterial SSU rRNA". It matches the Rfam family "Bacterial small subunit ribosomal RNA", at positions 339 to 795 of the family's 1533-position model. The record is from RNAcentral. Lineage: Bacteria; Pseudomonadati; Pseudomonadota; Gammaproteobacteria; Enterobacterales; Enterobacteriaceae.